GUCCCUGUAGCGCAAUGGAUAGCGCGUUGGACUUCUAAUCCAGCGGUCGUGGGUUCGAAUUCCACCUGGGAUG
Molecule: transfer RNA, 73 nt
Filed under: Trichonephila inaurata madagascariensis
Lineage: Eukaryota; Metazoa; Arthropoda; Arachnida; Araneae; Nephilidae
Rfam family: tRNA
About the family: Transfer RNA (tRNA) molecules are approximately 80 nucleotides in length. Their secondary structure includes four short double-helical elements and three loops (D, anti-codon, and T loops).
Source: Rfam by way of RNAcentral